This is an RNA transcript of Sarcophilus harrisii (Tasmanian devil), 4181 nucleotides long. It is a transcript of the gene named solute carrier family 35 member B3, with no coding region annotated. The record is from RefSeq and is a predicted model, not a curated record. The transcript has 10 exons. NCBI's taxonomy places the organism in Eukaryota, Metazoa, Chordata, Mammalia, Dasyuromorphia, Dasyuridae.
CAUACGCGGAAACGGAACGCGAGCUCCGGGAUGCGGACCGUAGCCGAGGUGGCGGCGGCGCUGCUGGCAGGUGAUGGCGGCGGAAUUGGGAGCGCUCGCGACUGAUCCUCCUGGGCUCCAGCCACCUUCCCAGGACUUUGGUCAACAUUCUAAGAAAGAGAUCAAAAAUAAGGAAGGUAGCUUCAUAAGCACUGAAUGCAUCGAACUAAGAACAAUGGAUCUGAAAUUCAACAACUCCAGGAAAUAUAUUUCCAUCAGUGUCUCUUCCAAAGCCCAAACUAUGUCACCCCACAUCAAGUCAAUAGAUGAUGUUGUAGUACUUGGCAUAAAUCUCAGCAAAUUUAACAAACCCACUCAGUUUUUCAUAUGUGUUACAGGAGUAUUUGUAUUUUACUUAAUCUAUGGAUAUUUGCAGGAAUUGAUAUUCUCAGUGGAAGGAUUUAAGCCCUUUGGCUGGUACCUUACUUUAGUUCAAUUUGGGUUUUAUUCCAUAUUUGGACUAAUAGAACUUCAACUUAUUCAGGACAAAAGGAGAAGGAUACCAGGAAAAACCUAUAUGAUAAUAGCUUUUCUAACCGUGGGUACUAUGGGUUUGUCAAACACUUCCCUAGGCUACCUGAAUUACCCCACCCAAGUCAUCUUCAAGUGCUGUAAAUUGAUUCCAGUUAUGCUAGGAGGAGUUUUUAUUCAAGGAAAGCGUUACAAUAUUGCAGAUGUGUCUGCUGCAGUGUGUAUGAGUCUUGGGCUGAUAUGGUUUACUCUAGCUGACAGCACAGUUGCACCAAAUUUCAACUUGACAGGUGUGGUCCUUAUCUCCCUUGCCCUCUGUGCAGAUGCUGUUAUAGGAAAUGUACAAGAAAAGGCUAUGAAGAUGCACAAUGCUUCCAAUUCAGAAAUGGUUUUGUAUUCCUAUUCAAUAGGUUUUGUGUACAUUUUAUUGGGACUGACAUGCACUACUGGAUUAAGCCCUGCAGUAGCAUUUUGUUCAAAGGUUUUUUGUUGUUGCAGCAUCCAAUACAGACGUAUGGUUAUGCAUUCCUUUUCUCCCUUACUGGGUAUUUUGGAAUCUCCUUUGUUCUGGCUUUGAUUAAAAUUUUUGGUGCUCUUCUUGCUGUAACAGUAACAACUGGAAGAAAAGCAAUGACCAUUGUGCUUUCCUUUAUAUUCUUUGCUAAGCCAUUCACAUUUCAAUAUGUCUGGUCUGGUUUAUUAGUUGUACUUGGUAUAUUUCUAAAUGUUUACAGCAAAAAUAUGGACAAAAUCAAGCUCCCAUCACUAUAUAGUCUGCUAAAUAAAAAAUUUGAAGACAGAAAGAUAAGGACGUUGGCACAAACAGUAUAGGCAGUAAUUUAUACUGUCUCAAAUGGAACUUUUUUUGAGGGAACAAUUAUCAAUUCACUUUCCAAAGGGAUCUUUAUAAAAACCAAAGGAGGAGAAGGUAAAUAUGAACUUUUUUUUUUUUUAAUGAAAUCAACCUUCUCUUUAGAACACUUGAAUUCAUAUUACUUUUGAAACAUUCAGCAAAGCCAUUGUGUAGCACAUUAUAAGAAUAAAACAUCAAGAUGAAGGACCGAAGUACUUGGCAGCUUAUGGAUAAUUUCUACUGGAAAUGAGACAUUGCAAGACCAAGACCAAUUUGAAUGCUAUAUUUGUGUCAUAUCUAAAAUGUCAUUAAUAUGGAAUUUGUAGAUUUUCUUACUUUAUUGUUUUCAUUGUUUGAUUAGAGUUAUUAAAAUUGAUUUUUUCUAUUAUUAUGAUACUGAUGACCAACUUUAUACUUUAAACUCUUAGGAGAAUGAUUAUUUUAAAUAAAAACAUAUUUAAUGAUUUGUAAAGUCUUAAUAUAAUUAUGUAUUGAAAGUUGAAAAUGAAAAUUAGAUUUUCUUUAAUGAAACAAAAAAUUGGGGGAUUUUUCUCUCACUUGCAAUUUAAAAAUCUAUUUUCUAAUGAUAGCAUGCCUUUUAAUUGCUCUAUAAAAUGUGCCUGGGAUGAAUAAAUUAAUUAAAUGAAUAUCAAUAAAAGGAAUUGUUUCUGUCCACUAGGAUGAUUCUGAAAAAUUAAGUUAUCCCAGAAGGGCUUAUUCAUUUAACUAAGGUAGAAAAAGUUUGUCUUAAAAUGAUUAUAGUUUAUUUUUCUUACAAAAUAUGAGUCCGCUUUGAAACAAUAAAAGAUAUAGUACAGUUAUAGUUGAAAGUUUGGUUUUUCAUGUGUACAAAAAAUAGUAUACAGGUUCUUAAAUAGCAGAAAAAAUUUAGGCUGUUUAUAGGCUAUUUUAGGUCCAAUAACUGCCACUAAAAUGUUAUUUUUAAAAUGUCAUUAAAACAGGGAUACAGCUUUGGAAUGACUGACAAUGCCAGGGAGGUAGUACAAACUCAAUCAGAUCCUCACAAAGGGGAACACUCACUAUGUUUGGAGUGUGUCAUCCCCUGAAAGAUGGCCAACAAGUAAUAUUGAUUUGGGGAGAAAGGGGAGUUUACAUUUUCUCAUCCCAAGUCAUAAAGAAUUAUUAUUUACCAAUGUGUAGAUGGAAUCAUUGAUAUUUUAUAAUAUUAAAGUGUGUUCAGAAAGACAUAGGGAACUGUCUACACCAAUAGAUCACAGUCUUUCUUAGUAGAUAAGGUCAUAGUACCUUAGAGUCACAACUGGAAGAUCAUUUAGUCUAAUUCCCUCCUUUUUCAGAUAAUGAAUUAAGGAUAAGCAGGAAUUAGUGUAUUGCUCAAGGACAUAGGAGGACUUUUUGGUAUGUAAACUCAGGUUCCCUCAGUACAGUACUGUAGUGAGAUAUCAAAACACAUUGCUGAUAAGGGAAUUGUCUAAUUCAGCAGAAUAAUCAGCAGACAAGAAUGAAACCUAAGUAAAUGUUUGUAACUUCAAGCCCAGGACUUCAUCCAUUAAAACAUAAGUCCAAAAAUAUAGCACUUAGAAUUUGCUUAUAUUUAACAUAAUCCACCUUUUUUAGUCAUUUACUUUUAAUUAUACUAACAGCUUUUCAAAUGUCUAAUAUAUGGCAAAGCCUAUUUGAAACAAUAUAAAUUUGACUUCCCAAUACAAAUAAUAUUGGUCAAAUCAAAUCAGUGUCUGUUCCACCAGAUAAUUUCACACAUGCUUCUUGGAUGUCAGUCAAUAGUUAAUUUAUUGAUUGCUCUCCAUGUGCCAAGUCUUGGGCCAAGCAGUGGGGAUACAAAAAAGAACAAAGGACAGGCCUUCCCUAAAGGGGCUCACAAUCUCAUUGAGGAGACAACAGGCAAACAAAUAUGUGGCAAACAAACUAUAUACAGGAUAAAGGAGUAAUUGAGAGGGAAAGCGCUAGAAUUAAGAAGGAUUAAAAAAGGUUUUCUGUGAAAGGUGGGAAUUGUUUUGGGGCUUGGAGAAAACCCGGAAAUAGAAGUGAGAAGGGAAGAACUUUCCAGGCAUGAGAGAAACCAGAGAAAUUUCCUUGAGCCAUGAUGAUAGUCAUGUUCAGACUAUAGUCAGGAGACCAGUAUCACAAUAUGUAGAUAUUAUAAGGUAAGAAUAUACUAGAAAGGUAUAACUAAGUCAUGAAGGGCUUUGAAUGUCAGAGGAUUCUAUAUUUGUUCCUAUAAGUAACAAAGCUAUUAUAGUUUAUUAAGUGUGGAGUUGGAGUGUUGACAUGGUUGGACCUGUGGUUUUGGAAAGUCACUUUGGUUGACGGAAUGGACAGUAGAUUGAAGAAAGACUUAAGGUAGACAAAUCUACCAGCAAGCUAUUGCAGUAAUCUAAACCUGAGGUGAUGAGGACUUCCACCAAUAUGAUGACAGGAGGAAAGGGGAUAUAUUUGAGAGACCAAGUUGCAAAGGUCAAAUCAAUAGGCCUUGGCAACAGAUUAGAUAUGAUUAUUAACCUUGUCAGUUAUUACAAUGGUUGUCACUAAAUUUCUGGUGAUGGCAGCUUAAUGAAUGAAGAACUGAUCAUUAGUAUUAAAAAAUUUUUACUUUUUCUUAGUCACUUUUUGAAAAGUUCAAUUCUAAUCUUUCAAAACUGAUCUAAGAUUAAGAAGCAUGAUGAGUUUUAACAUGUAUUUGUAAAUUCUUCAUAUUGUUUUGUAAAUGAACCAUGAAAAAUCAUGUAUUCUACCCUUCUUGCCUUAGAAGAUGGAUAAAUAAAACUGUCCUUUUCGGAGAAAGCACCUAAUAAAAAAGUUGUUCACACAAAAUCCUCAA